This 301-nucleotide ribosomal RNA is filed under the name uncultured bacterium. RNAcentral's name for it is "partial 16S ribosomal RNA". It matches the Rfam family "Bacterial small subunit ribosomal RNA", at positions 509 to 807 of the family's 1533-position model. The record is from RNAcentral.
CAGCCGCCGCGGUAAUACGUAGGUGGCAAGCGUUGUCCGGAAUUAUUGGGCGUAAAGGGCUCGCAGGCGGUUUCUUAAGUCUGAUGUGAAAGCCCCCGGCUCAACCGGGGAGGGUCAUUGGAAACUGGGAAACUUGAGUGCAGAAGAGGAGAGUGGAAUUCCACGUGUAGCGGUGAAAUGCGUAGAGAUGUGGAGGAACACCAGUGGCGAAGGCGACUCUCUGGUCUGUAACUGACGCUGAGGAGCGAAAGCGUGGGGAGUGAACAGGAUUAGAUACCCCUGUAGUCCCUGUCUCUUAUAC